RNAcentral lists this ribosomal RNA (415 nucleotides) under uncultured bacterium. Its description in RNAcentral is "bacterial SSU rRNA". It matches the Rfam family "Bacterial small subunit ribosomal RNA", at positions 29 to 490 of the family's 1533-position model. The record is from RNAcentral.
AACGAACGCUGGCGGCAUGCCUAACACAUGCAAGUCGAACGAGACCUUCGGGUCUAGUGGCGCACGGGUGCGUAACGCGUGGGAACCUGCCUUUAGGUUCGGAAUAACUCAGAGAAAUUUGAGCUAAUACCGGAUAAUGUCUUCGGACCAAAGAUUUAUCGCCUUUAGAUGGGCCCGCGUAAGAUUAGCUAGUUGGUGGGUAAAGGCCUACCAAGGCGACGAUCUUUAGCUGGUCUGAGAGGAUGAUCAGCCACACUGGGACUGAGACACGGCCCAGACUCCUACGGGAGGCAGCAGUGGGGAAUAUUGGACAAUGGCGAAAGCCUGAUCCAGCAAUGCCGCGUGAGUGAUGAAGGCCUUAGGGUUGUAAAAGCUCUUUUACCCGAGAUGAUAAUGACAGUAUCGGGAGAAUAAG